Long non-coding RNA from Oncorhynchus tshawytscha (Chinook salmon), 304 nucleotides. The record is from Ensembl. Lineage: Eukaryota; Metazoa; Chordata; Actinopteri; Salmoniformes; Salmonidae.
UGACAACAACAUGGUAGCAACACAACAUGACAACAACAUGGUAGCAACACAACAUGACAACAACACGGUAGCAACACAACAUGACAACAACAUGGUAGCAACACAACGUGGUUUGAUUGAUGACGUACCAUAACAAAUCAAGUUUCACUUUCAUUGUUUUCUUUGUGAUGAGAGGUGAGGUAGUUUAUAACAGUUCUUUGUGAUGAGAGGUGAGGUAGUUUAUACCAGUUCUUUGUGAUGAGAGGUGAGGUAGUUUAUACCAGUUCUUUGUGAUGAUAGGUGAGGUAGUUUAUACCAGUUCUUU